Molecule: long non-coding RNA, 223 nt
Filed under: Ananas comosus (pineapple)
Lineage: Eukaryota; Viridiplantae; Streptophyta; Magnoliopsida; Poales; Bromeliaceae
Description: long non-coding RNA (ACOM_LNC030810)
Source: RNAcentral
CCAAUCGAUGCUCAACUUUGUCUUCGUCUGGAAUAAAAAUAAAACAUAAAAUAAGUAAAUUAUACUUUUGGUCCUCAAACUAUAAAAGGCAUGAUACUUUGGUUCUCAAACUUUAAUGCUUCAUAAUUUCUAACUCAAACUAUGAGGCACAUGAUACUUUAAUCCUUAAAUUUUAAUUAGUUAUAAUUUUUGGCUCAAAUUAUAAGGAAUAUAAUAGUUUAGU